UAAGGAAUAUUGGUCAAUGGACGGAAGUCUGAACCAGCCAUGCCGCGUGCAGGAAGACGGCCCUACGGGUUGUAAACUGCUUUUGCAGGGGAAUAAACCUUGAUACGUGUAUCAAGCUGAAUGUACUCUGAGAAUAAGGAUCGGCUAACUCCGUGCCAGCAGCCGCGGUAAUACGGAGGAUCCAAGCGUUAUCCGGAUUUAUUGGGUUUAAAGGGUGCGUAGGUGGCCUGUUAAGUCAGGGGUGAAAGACGGUAGCUUAACUAUCGCAGUGCCCUUGAUACUGAUGGGCUUGAAUGAACUAGAGGUAGGCGGAAUGUGACAAGUAGCGGUGAAAUGCAUAGAUAUGUCACAGAACACCAAUUGCGAAGGCAGCUUACUAUGGUUUUAUUGACACUGAGGCACGAAAGCGUGGGGAUCAAACA
RNAcentral lists this ribosomal RNA (422 nucleotides) under uncultured Mucilaginibacter sp. RNAcentral describes it as "bacterial SSU rRNA". It matches the Rfam family "Bacterial small subunit ribosomal RNA", at positions 355 to 774 of the family's 1533-position model. Lineage: Bacteria; Pseudomonadati; Bacteroidota; Sphingobacteriia; Sphingobacteriales; Sphingobacteriaceae. The record is from RNAcentral.